RNAcentral lists this ribosomal RNA (397 nucleotides) under uncultured bacterium. RNAcentral's name for it is "partial 16S ribosomal RNA". It matches the Rfam family "Bacterial small subunit ribosomal RNA", at positions 523 to 918 of the family's 1533-position model. The record is from RNAcentral.
AUACGUAGGGGGCGAGCGUUGUCCGGAAUGAUUGGGCGUAAAGGGCGCGUAGGCGGCCCGGUAAGUCUGGAGUGAAAGUCCUGUUUUUAAGAUGGGAAUUGCUUUGGAUACUGUCGGGCUUGAGUGCAGGAGAGGUAAGUGGAAUUCCCAGUGUAGCGGUGAAAUGCGUAGAGAUUGGGAGGAACUCCAGUGGCGAAGGCGACUUACUGGACUGUAACUGACGCUGAGGCGCGAAAGUGUGGGGAGCAAACAGGAUUAGAUACCCUGGUAGUCCACACUGUAAACGAUGAAUGCUAGGUGUAGGGGGUAUCGACCCCUUCUGUGCCGCAGUCAACACAAUAAGCAUUCCGCCUGGGGAGUACGGCCGCAAGGUUGAAACUCAAAUGAAUUGACGGGG